UCACUGGGCUUAAAGCGUACGCAGGCGGAUUUGUAGGUAUCUUGUGAAAUCCCACGGCUCAACCGUGGAACUGCAGGGUAAACCACAAAUCUUGAGACAAGUAGGGGUCAGUGGAACUAUGAGUGGAGCGGUGAAAUGCGUAGAUAUUCAUGGGAACGCCAAUGGCGAAGGCAACUGACUGGGCUUGUUCUGACGCUCAGGUACGAAAGCGUGGGUAGCGAACGGGAUUAGAUACCCCGGUAGUCCACGCCGUAAACGAUGCACACUAGGUCGCGGUACCUCUCAUGGUUUCGCGGCCGAAGGUAAACUGAUUAGUGUGCCGCCUGGGGAGUACGGUCGCAAGGCUAAAACUCAAAGGAAUUGACGGGGGCUCACACAAGCGGUGGAGCAUGUUGCUUAAUUCGAGGCAACGCGAAGAACCUUACCUAGACUUGACAUGUAUGGAUUAGCUCUUGGAAACAAGAGUGACGCCCUUGGGUGGAACAUACACAGGUGCUGCAUGGCU
Molecule: ribosomal RNA, 505 nt
Filed under: uncultured Phycisphaerales bacterium
Lineage: Bacteria; Pseudomonadati; Planctomycetota; Phycisphaerae; Phycisphaerales
Description: bacterial SSU rRNA
Rfam family: Bacterial small subunit ribosomal RNA
Source: RNAcentral